GACGAACGCUGGCGGCGUGCUUAACACAUGCAAGUCGAACGGAAAGGCUCCAGCUUGCUGGCGUACUCGAGUGGCGAACGGGUGAGUAACACGUGGGUAAUCUGCCCUGCACUCUGGGAUAAGCCUGGGAAACUGGGUCUAAUACUGGAUAUGACCUUUCUCCUUAUGGGGUUUGGUGGAAAGUUUUUCGGUGUAGGAUGCGCCCGCGGCCUAUCAGCUUGUUGGUGGGGUGAUGGCCUACCAAGGCGACGACGGGUAGCCGGCCUGAGAGGGUGAUCGGCCACAUUGGGACUGAGAUACGGCCCAGACUCCUACGGGAGGCAGCAGUGGGGAAUAUUGCACAAUGGGCGGAGGCCUGAUGCAGCGACGCCGCGUGAGGGAUGACGGCCUUCGGGUUGUAAACCUCUUUCAGCAGGGACGAAGCGUAAGUGACGGUACCUGCAGAAGAAGCACCGGCUAACUAUGUG
Molecule: ribosomal RNA, 467 nt
Filed under: uncultured bacterium
Lineage: Bacteria
Description: partial 16S ribosomal RNA
Rfam family: Bacterial small subunit ribosomal RNA
Source: RNAcentral